This 67-nucleotide microRNA precursor is filed under the name Picea abies (Norway spruce). Its description in RNAcentral is "miR11548 stem-loop (pab-MIR11548)". The record is from miRBase by way of RNAcentral. Lineage: Eukaryota; Viridiplantae; Streptophyta; Pinopsida; Pinales; Pinaceae.
UCUUAUGUAGUUUUCGCUGUCGGCCUCGACAAGAGACUUGUUUUGUAGAUUUCGAAAGCUCAGACGA